Panicum hallii is the source of this 720-nucleotide long non-coding RNA. RefSeq lists it as uncharacterized. The record is from RefSeq and is a predicted model, not a curated record. The transcript has 3 exons. NCBI's taxonomy places the organism in Eukaryota, Viridiplantae, Streptophyta, Magnoliopsida, Poales, Poaceae.
GUAUGCAGAUGAGUGAUUUACUGGAGUUGUAAGCAGUACUUACUAGAGGCCCUAGAUCCUGAACCCAAAUCCAAAGUGACAUGGGGUGUAUCAUGGAUACUGCAUGUAGAGUUGGUUUGUUACAGUUGACUUGAAAAUUACUUUGACUGUACACCGUGCCAUCUAAUGUGCAGGAAACCUUAACCAAAAUAGAAAUAUCACUCUUGACUUGCAUGUGAUUUAUUCAGAGUUAUAUCUAGCAAUUUAUGUUGAAUUUUUUUUCAAAUGUUGGCAUUACAAGUUCACUGAAUAUAUGUGAAUGGUUUCAGUUAAGUCAUCAUUGUUAUUCCCUGUUGAUUCCAUAGUUCUUUCCCUGCUGAUACCUUGGUGUUGUUUCUGGUGUCACCCGGAGUACCUCGCCAUGAAUAAAGGGAGCAGUGCGAACACAGAAGGGCCACUCCACCGGCGGCCUGAACCUAACGCCAGGUCUGUCAUAUGCUCGGAAUAAGGCCAACUGCAUCUGCAUCUGAGCACAUGAUCAUAUCUAGAUUGCAAGUACUUCGGAUUGCAUCAGGGUGUCAAGAGAGGGGAAAUGUUUGUCGGGACGUGUUUGGAAGCCUAUUAAAAAUGUUAUAGAACAACCUUGCCAUGUGACAGUGCCUCAUGUAUAAAAUCAUAAGCAAAGUAUAUAAGCAAAUUAACCAUGCCCAUAUCUUUUUAGUGUUGGACGAAUUUUUAAUG